UACGGAGGGUGCAAGCGUUAAUCGGAAUUACUGGGCGUAAAGCGUACGUAGGAUGUAAUGCAAGUCGGAUGUGAAAUCCCCGGGCUUAACCUGGGAACUGCAUUCGAAACUACAUUACUAGAGUGUAGUAGAGGUAAGCGGAAUUUCGGGUGUAGCGGUGAAAUGCGUAGAUAUCCGAAAGAACAUCAGUGGCGAAGGCGGCUUACUGGACUAACACUGACUCUGAGGUACGAAAGCGUGGGUAGCAAACAGG
This 253-nucleotide ribosomal RNA is filed under the name uncultured bacterium. RNAcentral describes it as "partial 16S ribosomal RNA". It matches the Rfam family "Bacterial small subunit ribosomal RNA", at positions 524 to 776 of the family's 1533-position model. The record is from RNAcentral.